This 253-nucleotide ribosomal RNA is filed under the name uncultured bacterium. Its description in RNAcentral is "partial 16S ribosomal RNA". It matches the Rfam family "Bacterial small subunit ribosomal RNA", at positions 524 to 776 of the family's 1533-position model. The record is from RNAcentral.
UACAGAGGUGGCAAGCGUUGUUCGGAAUUACUGGGCGUAAAGGGCGCGUAGGCGGCCUUGUAAGUCUCGUGUGAAAUCCCUCGGCUCAACUGAGGAACUGCACGGGAUACUGCUGGGCUUGAGUUCGGGAGAGGGAAGUGGAAUUCCGGGUGUAGCGGUGAAAUGCGUAGAUAUCCGGAGGAACAUCGGUGGCGAAGGCGACUUCCUGGACCGACACUGACGCUGAGGCGCGAAAGCUAGGGGAGCAAACGGG